RNAcentral lists this ribosomal RNA (250 nucleotides) under uncultured bacterium. RNAcentral's name for it is "partial 16S ribosomal RNA". It matches the Rfam family "Bacterial small subunit ribosomal RNA", at positions 355 to 597 of the family's 1533-position model. The record is from RNAcentral.
UGGGGAAUAUUGGACAAUGGGCGCAAGCCUGAUCCAGCAAUGCCGCGUGUGUGAAGAAGGCCUUCGGGUUGUAAAGCACUUUUGUUUGGGAAGAAAUCCGGUUGGUUAAUACCUGAUCGGGAUGACGGUACCAAAAGAAUAAGCACCGGCUAACUUCGUGCCAGCAGCCGCGGUAAUACGAAGGGUGCAAGCGUUAAUCGGAAUUACUGGGCGUAAAGCGUGCGUAGGUGGUUUGUUAAGUCAGAUGUGA